CUUUUUAGGGUUAAAACGUCAAUAUUUUAGACGAGUCGCCUAAUUUUUAGGGACUGAUGUCAUUUUUAACGCGUCUCCUAUUUUUAGGGACC
Molecule: non-coding RNA, 92 nt
Organism: Populus trichocarpa (black cottonwood)
Lineage: Eukaryota; Viridiplantae; Streptophyta; Magnoliopsida; Malpighiales; Salicaceae
Source: Rfam